This is a non-coding RNA of Anas platyrhynchos (mallard), 628 nucleotides long. The record is from RefSeq and is a predicted model, not a curated record. Lineage: Eukaryota; Metazoa; Chordata; Aves; Anseriformes; Anatidae.
AAAAUAUUGGCCUGGUGUCUAAUAUCAAAUGUGUAAUUUGGAAAAUUUGUAAGAUGGAAAUCUUAUAUUACCCCGCUGUCCACAGAGCAAAUGUUGUGAGUCAGUGUCUGGGAACACAGAAGACAAGUUAGAAGAGUUCUGUACCUUUGGAAGAUCUGGAUCUAGGCUGUAACACAGCAUCUGGAGCAGAUAAGCAGCUACAGCCAGCAAGCAAAUGUAUCUGGAAAUCCGCUGAGACAGCAACAUUCAUCAUAGCUUCACUAACAACACGGGCACAGCACACCCACCUAAAGGAUCAGCUGUUACGAGGUGCAUCAGUCCCUCCAGCAACCCAUGAAUGCAGAUGGAAAGCUCCACAAUGGCAUACCUGGAAUCAAACUGACUGUUCUGUUUUACAGACAUGUUAUGUUACAGUUUUUAAAUGACCUGUUUUGAAAAUAGAAGAAAGUGAAAAAUUGCACUGAAAAAGCAUCCAGGAAAAAAAAAAAAAAAUACUUGCCAACUAUGCAAAUAUUUUCCGUAGUACUUGACAGGAUUAGUCUCCCCUCAAGAAGAAUCAAAGUAUUACCCUACUUGAUUCCUUGCAAAUAGAAGUAAAAUAUUGAGUAGAGCAUGUCCAAACAUUUGU